Molecule: ribosomal RNA, 631 nt
Filed under: uncultured picoeukaryote
Lineage: Eukaryota
Description: partial 16S ribosomal RNA
Rfam family: Bacterial small subunit ribosomal RNA
Source: RNAcentral
CCGCAAGGCUAAAACCCAAAGGAAUUGACGGGGGCUUACACAAGCGGUGGAGCAUGUGGUUUAAUUCGAAACAACGCGCAAAACCUUACCAAUCCUUGACAUAUGAAAAACCAGGGUGUUUACCCGCUCUGUCUCUUUUAUACAGGCGCUGCAUGGCUGUCGUCAGUUCGUGGUGUGAGCUGUUGGGUUAAGUCCCAGAACGAACGCAACCCUCCUUUGAGAUGAAGGUUUACCUUUUUCAAAGACUGCCAAGGAUAUCUUGGAGGAAGGUGAGGAUGACGUCAAGUCCGCAUGGCCCUUAUGGGUUGGGCUACACACGUGCUACAAUGGGAAUGACAAAAGGAGGCAACAUGGCAACAUUGAGCAAAUCCCAAAAAGUUUCCUUAGUUCGGAUUGUUCUCUGCAACUCGAGAACAUGAAGUUGGAAUCGCUAGUAAUCGUAGAUCAGCACGCUACGGUGAAUUUGUAUCUAAGCCUUGUACACACCGCCCGUCACACUCUGAAAAUUUUCAUGCCUUGAAGCAAAAGAAGUUCACCAAGAACACACAGCGCAAUUAAAAAAAAACAUCUUCCCUUUUUUUUCUGUGUCUUUGUUGGAACCUUUUCUAGAGUUAGGGAGGUGAUUGGAGUG